AAUCCAUAGGUUAAUGAGGCGAACCGGGGGAACUGAAACAUCUAAGUACCCCGAGGAAAAGAAAUCAACCGAGAUUCCCCCAGUAGCGGCGAGCGAACGGGGAGGAGCCCAGAGCCUGAAUCAGCAUGUGUGUUAGUGGAAGCGUCUGGAAAGGCGCGCGAUACAGGGUGACAGCCCCGUACACAAAAGCGCAUGUGCUGUGAGCUCGAUGAGUAGGGCGGGACACGUGGUAUCCUGUCUGAAUAUGGGGGGACCAUCCUCCAAGGCUAAAUACUCCUGA
This 280-nucleotide ribosomal RNA is filed under the name Salmonella enterica subsp. enterica serovar Enteritidis. Its description in RNAcentral is "partial 23S ribosomal RNA". It matches the Rfam family "Bacterial large subunit ribosomal RNA", at positions 161 to 478 of the family's 2925-position model. The record is from RNAcentral. Lineage: Bacteria; Pseudomonadati; Pseudomonadota; Gammaproteobacteria; Enterobacterales; Enterobacteriaceae.